CCAACACAUACUCCUAUACCACCAAUUCACAAACCACCAACUCAUUCUCCUAAACCACCAAAGUAUACUCCUAAGCCAACACCUUGUCCACCACCAUCAUCAACACCAAAACCACCACAUGUUCCAAAACCACCUCAUUACCCUAAACCACCAAUAGUUCAUCCACCUCAUGUUCCAAAACCACCAGUUGUGAAACCACCAAUAGUUCAUCCACCUUAUGUUCCAAAACCACCGGUGCAUCCACCUUAUGUGCCAAAACCACCAGUGCAUCCACCUUAUGUCCCAAAACCACCAGCUGUGAAGCCACCUUAUGUUCCUAAACCACCAGUUGUCCCAGUAACACCACCAUAUGUUCCUAAACCACCCGUUGUGAAACCACCAAUUGUUUAUCCACCCCAUGUUCCGGUUCCUCUUCCUCCGGUAGUACCAAUAACACCACCUUAUGUACCAACACCACCAAUUGUGAAACCACCAAUUGUUUUUCCACCACAUGUUCCUGUUCCUAUUCCUCCUUUUCCUCCCGUUGUACCAAUAACACCACCAUAUGUUCCAACACCACCGAUUAUCACACCGCCAACACCAACACCACCAGUAGUUACUCCACCAACGGUACCUGUACCAAGCCCAC
Molecule: long non-coding RNA, 628 nt
Filed under: Trifolium pratense (red clover)
Lineage: Eukaryota; Viridiplantae; Streptophyta; Magnoliopsida; Fabales; Fabaceae
Description: long non-coding RNA (TPRA_LNC000915)
Source: RNAcentral